GAUGAACGCUGGCGGCGUGCCUAAUACAUGCAAGUCGAGCGAACAGACGAGGAGCUUGCUCCUCUGACGUUAGCGGCGGACGGGUGAGUAACACGUGGAUAACCUACCUAUAAGACUGGGAUAACUUCGGGAAACCGGAGCUAAUACCGGAUAAUAUAUUGAACCGCAUGGUUCCAUAGUGAAAGACGGUAUUGCUGUCACUUAUAGAUGGAUCCGCGCCGCAUUAGCUAGUUGGUAAGGUAACGGCUUACCAAGGCAACGAUGCGUAACCGACCUGAGAGGGUGAUCGGCCACACUGGAACUGAGACACGGUCCAGACUCCUACGGGAGGCAGCAGUAGGGAAUCUUCCGCAAUGGGCGAAAGCCUGACGGAGCAACGCCGCGUGAGUGAUGAAGGUCUUCGGAUCGUAAAACUCUGUUAUUAGGGAAGAACAAAUGUGUAAGUAACUAUGCACGUCUUGACGGUACCUAAUCAGAAAGCCACGGCUAACUACGUG
Molecule: ribosomal RNA, 497 nt
Filed under: uncultured bacterium
Lineage: Bacteria
Description: partial 16S ribosomal RNA
Rfam family: Bacterial small subunit ribosomal RNA
Source: RNAcentral